This 528-nucleotide long non-coding RNA is filed under the name Manacus vitellinus (golden-collared manakin). RNAcentral describes it as "lncRNA (ENSMVIG00005003529.1)". Lineage: Eukaryota; Metazoa; Chordata; Aves; Passeriformes; Pipridae. The record is from RNAcentral.
GGGAUUUUGUUUUGUUUUCCUCUACCCAAAGGUAUAUUUCCCAAGAGAUAUAACUAAAACAUUCAAUAAUAUUUCUUUGUAUAGCAUCCAAUAAUGCAAUGGCUGGAAGACAAGAAAGCGAUGGAGUAGCUGGGCGGGUGCACUGGAUAUUAUCAAUAAUUUUGAUGCUGUGGAGUUACCAGAGCAGUGGACAAGGACAAGCUAGAAAAACAGCAGAGAUAGAACAAUGAGCCUGGUGUAAAUGACACCAUGCAAAUGAGGGAGGAACCAAGAUCAUUCAUGGAAGAUGGAAGGAACAUGCAGUAGAGAGAGAUAUAUAAACUAAUUUUUCCUUAAGAAUAGCUUAAUAUUCCUUCUUUAUUUAUUUAAAUGAAUUUGGAGUCCCAACUAUAUAUAACGUUUUGCCACGUUCAGAAAUUAGCUCUAAUUUUUUGUGCAAACUGGCAUAUAAAGUUCAUUUAAAGAUAGUUGAGUCCCCAUGCUUAUGAAUAGUGUACAGCUGAUUUUGGGAGCCACACAGUCACCAUU